RNAcentral lists this ribosomal RNA (2902 nucleotides) under Escherichia coli. RNAcentral describes it as "bacterial LSU rRNA". It matches the Rfam family "Bacterial large subunit ribosomal RNA". The record is from RNAcentral. Lineage: Bacteria; Pseudomonadati; Pseudomonadota; Gammaproteobacteria; Enterobacterales; Enterobacteriaceae.
UUAAGCGACUAAGCGUACACGGUGGAUGCCCUGGCAGUCAGAGGCGAUGAAGGACGUGCUAAUCUGCGAUAAGCGUCGGUAAGGUGAUAUGAACCGUUAUAACCGGCGAUUUCCGAAUGGGGAAACCCAGUGUGUUUCGACACACUAUCAUUAACUGAAUCCAUAGGUUAAUGAGGCGAACCGGGGGAACUGAAACAUCUAAGUACCCCGAGGAAAAGAAAUCAACCGAGAUUCCCCCAGUAGCGGCGAGCGAACGGGGAGCAGCCCAGAGCCUGAAUCAGUGUGUGUGUUAGUGGAAGCGUCUGGAAAGGCGCGCGAUACAGGGUGACAGCCCCGUACACAAAAAUGCACAUGCUGUGAGCUCGAUGAGUAGGGCGGGACACGUGGUAUCCUGUCUGAAUAUGGGGGGACCAUCCUCCAAGGCUAAAUACUCCUGACUGACCGAUAGUGAACCAGUACCGUGAGGGAAAGGCGAAAAGAACCCCGGCGAGGGGAGUGAAAAAGAACCUGAAACCGUGUACGUACAAGCAGUGGGAGCACGCUUAGGCGUGUGACUGCGUACCUUUUGUAUAAUGGGUCAGCGACUUAUAUUCUGUAGCAAGGUUAACCGAAUAGGGGAGCCGAAGGGAAACCGAGUCUUAACUGGGCGUUAAGUUGCAGGGUAUAGACCCGAAACCCGGUGAUCUAGCCAUGGGCAGGUUGAAGGUUGGGUAACACUAACUGGAGGACCGAACCGACUAAUGUUGAAAAAUUAGCGGAUGACUUGUGGCUGGGGGUGAAAGGCCAAUCAAACCGGGAGAUAGCUGGUUCUCCCCGAAAGCUAUUUAGGUAGCGCCUCGUGAACUCAUCUCCGGGGGUAGAGCACUGUUUCGGCAAGGGGGUCAUCCCGACUUACCAACCCGAUGCAAACUGCGAAUACCGGAGAAUGUUAUCACGGGAGACACACGGCGGGUGCUAACGUCCGUCGUGAAGAGGGAAACAACCCAGACCGCCAGCUAAGGUCCCAAAGUCAUGGUUAAGUGGGAAACGAUGUGGGAAGGCCCAGACAGCCAGGAUGUUGGCUUAGAAGCAGCCAUCAUUUAAAGAAAGCGUAAUAGCUCACUGGUCGAGUCGGCCUGCGCGGAAGAUGUAACGGGGCUAAACCAUGCACCGAAGCUGCGGCAGCGACGCUUAUGCGUUGUUGGGUAGGGGAGCGUUCUGUAAGCCUGUGAAGGUGUGCUGUGAGGCAUGCUGGAGGUAUCAGAAGUGCGAAUGCUGACAUAAGUAACGAUAAAGCGGGUGAAAAGCCCGCUCGCCGGAAGACCAAGGGUUCCUGUCCAACGUUAAUCGGGGCAGGGUGAGUCGACCCCUAAGGCGAGGCCGAAAGGCGUAGUCGAUGGGAAACAGGUUAAUAUUCCUGUACUUGGUGUUACUGCGAAGGGGGGACGGAGAAGGCUAUGUUGGCCGGGCGACGGUUGUCCCGGUUUAAGCGUGUAGGCUGGUUUUCCAGGCAAAUCCGGAAAAUCAAGGCUGAGGCGUGAUGACGAGGCACUACGGUGCUGAAGCAACAAAUGCCCUGCUUCCAGGAAAAGCCUCUAAGCAUCAGGUAACAUCAAAUCGUACCCCAAACCGACACAGGUGGUCAGGUAGAGAAUACCAAGGCGCUUGAGAGAACUCGGGUGAAGGAACUAGGCAAAAUGGUGCCGUAACUUCGGGAGAAGGCACGCUGAUAUGUAGGUGAAGUCCCUUGCGGAUGGAGCUGAAAUCAGUCGAAGAUACCAGCUGGCUGCAACUGUUUAUUAAAAACACAGCACUGUGCAAACACGAAAGUGGACGUAUACGGUGUGACGCCUGCCCGGUGCCGGAAGGUUAAUUGAUGGGGUCAGCGCAAGCGAAGCUCUUGAUCGAAGCCCCGGUAAACGGCGGCCGUAACUAUAACGGUCCUAAGGUAGCGAAAUUCCUUGUCGGGUAAGUUCCGACCUGCACGAAUGGCGUAAUGAUGGCCAGGCUGUCUCCACCCGAGACUCAGUGAAAUUGAACUCGCUGUGAAGAUGCAGUGUACCCGCGGCAAGACGGAAAGACCCCGUGAACCUUUACUAUAGCUUGACACUGAACAUUGAGCCUUGAUGUGUAGGAUAGGUGGGAGGCUUUGAAGUGUGGACGCCAGUCUGCAUGGAGCCGACCUUGAAAUACCACCCUUUAAUGUUUGAUGUUCUAACGUUGACCCGUAAUCCGGGUUGCGGACAGUGUCUGGUGGGUAGUUUGACUGGGGCGGUCUCCUCCUAAAGAGUAACGGAGGAGCACGAAGGUUGGCUAAUCCUGGUCGGACAUCAGGAGGUUAGUGCAAUGGCAUAAGCCAGCUUGACUGCGAGCGUGACGGCGCGAGCAGGUGCGAAAGCAGGUCAUAGUGAUCCGGUGGUUCUGAAUGGAAGGGCCAUCGCUCAACGGAUAAAAGGUACUCCGGGGAUAACAGGCUGAUACCGCCCAAGAGUUCAUAUCGACGGCGGUGUUUGGCACCUCGAUGUCGGCUCAUCACAUCCUGGGGCUGAAGUAGGUCCCAAGGGUAUGGCUGUUCGCCAUUUAAAGUGGUACGCGAGCUGGGUUUAGAACGUCGUGAGACAGUUCGGUCCCUAUCUGCCGUGGGCGCUGGAGAACUGAGGGGGGCUGCUCCUAGUACGAGAGGACCGGAGUGGACGCAUCACUGGUGUUCGGGUUGUCAUGCCAAUGGCACUGCCCGGUAGCUAAAUGCGGAAGAGAUAAGUGCUGAAAGCAUCUAAGCACGAAACUUGCCCCGAGAUGAGUUCUCCCUGACUCCUUGAGAGUCCUGAAGGAACGUUGAAGACGACGACGUUGAUAGGCCGGGUGUGUAAGCGCAGCGAUGCGUUGAGCUAACCGGUACUAAUGAACCGUGAGGCUUAACCUU